GCGAAGAACCUUACCUACUCUUGACAUCCAGAGAACUUAGCAGAGAUGCUUUGGUGCCUUCGGGAACUCUGAGACAGGUGCUGCAUGGCUGUCGUCAGCUCGUGUUGUGAAAUGUUGGGUUAAGUCCCGCAACGAGCGCAACCCUUAUCCUUGUUUGCCAGCGAGUAAUGUCGGGAACUCCAGGGAGACUGCCGGUGAUAAACCGGAGGAAGGUGGGGACGACGUCAAGUCAUCAUGGCCCUUACGAGUAGGGCUACACACGUGCUACAAUGGCGCAUACAGAGGGCGGCCAACUUGCGAAAGUGAGCGAAUCCCAAAAAGUGYKUCGUAGUCCGGAUUGGAGUCUGCAACUCGACUCCAUGAAGUCGGAAUC
RNAcentral lists this ribosomal RNA (373 nucleotides) under Vibrio sp. Its description in RNAcentral is "bacterial SSU rRNA". It matches the Rfam family "Bacterial small subunit ribosomal RNA", at positions 961 to 1333 of the family's 1533-position model. Lineage: Bacteria; Pseudomonadati; Pseudomonadota; Gammaproteobacteria; Vibrionales; Vibrionaceae. The record is from RNAcentral.